GACGAACGCUGGCGGCGUGCUUAAUACAUGCAAGUCGAACGGUAAAGGCGUGCCUUUGUGCUCCGGUUGAGUUGCGAACGGGUGAGUAACGCGUGGGUAACCUGCCUUUUAGUUUGGGAUAACUACUGGAAACUGUAGCUAAUACCGCAUAACAGUUGCUGCCGCAUGGUAUGUGCUUGAAAGUUUCGAUGGCAUGAGUACCACAUGGAGCUUCUCAGUAUUAGCUAGUGGGAGAGGUAACGGCUCACCAAGGCGAGGAUACAUAGCGGAACUGAGAGGGUGAUCGGCCACACUGGGACUGAGACACGGCACAGACUCCUACGGGAGGCAGCAGUAGGGAAUCGUCGGCAAUGGACGGAAGACUGAGCGAGAAACGCCGCGUGAGUGAAGAAGGUUUUCGGGUCGUAAAGCUCUGUUGUAAGAGAAGAACGAGUGUGAGAGUGGAAAGUUCACACUGUGACGGUAUCUGACCAGAAAGGGACGGCUAACUACGUG
This 495-nucleotide ribosomal RNA is filed under the name uncultured bacterium. RNAcentral's name for it is "partial 16S ribosomal RNA". It matches the Rfam family "Bacterial small subunit ribosomal RNA", at positions 28 to 507 of the family's 1533-position model. The record is from RNAcentral.